GCCCAGACUCCUACGGGAGGCAGCAGUGGGGAAUAUUGCACAAUGGGGGAAACCCUGAUGCAGCGACGCCGCGUGAGCGAUGAAGUAUUUCGGUAUGUAAAGCUCUAUCAGCAGGGAAGAAGAUGACGGUACCUGACUAAGAAGCCCCGGCUAACUACGUGCCAGCAGCCGCGGUAAUACGUAGGGGGCAAGCGUUAUCCGGAUUUACUGGGUGUAAAGGGAGCGUAGACGGCGAUGCAAGCCAGAUGUGAAAGCCCGGGGCUCAACCCCGGGACUGCAUUUGGAACUGUGUGGCUGGAGUGUCGGAGAGGCAGGCGGAAUUCCUAGUGUAGCGGUGAAAUGCGUAGAUAUUAGGAGGAACACCAGUGGCGAAGGCGGCCUGCUGGACGAUGACCGACGUUGAGGCUCGAAAGCGUGGGGAGCAAACAGGAUUAGAUACCCUCGUA
RNAcentral lists this ribosomal RNA (446 nucleotides) under uncultured bacterium. Its description in RNAcentral is "bacterial SSU rRNA". It matches the Rfam family "Bacterial small subunit ribosomal RNA", at positions 329 to 792 of the family's 1533-position model. The record is from RNAcentral.